ACUCUUUGUUCGAUAGAAUGAGAAAAAGUACACGUUGCAAAGUUAUACUGUUAUGGCGCAACUGAGUAGUCUAAUGUUGUUCCGGUUUUGAUUCUUGUGAACGUUGAAAAUUCGUUCCAAAUUUACACUCUCGGGGCAUAAUAGAACUAUAUAAUUAGGUUUUACUCUUUGUUCGAUAGAAUGAGAAAAAGUACUCGUUUCAAAGUUAUACUGUUAGGGCGCAACAGAGUAGUCUAAUGUUGUUCUGGUUUUCGUUCUUGUGAACGUUGACAUCGAUUCGUUCCAAAUUUACACUCUAGGGGCAUAAUAGAACUAUAUAAUUAGGUUUUACCCUUUGUUCAAUAGAAUGAGAAAAAGUACUCGUUGCAAAGUUAUACUGUUUGGGCGCAACUGAGUAGUCUAAUUUUGUUCCUGUUUUUGUUUUUGUGAACGUUGACAUCGAUUCGUUCCAAAUUUACACUCUCGGGGCAUAAUAGAACAAUAUAAUUAGGUUUUACUCUUUGUUCGAUAGAAUGAGAAAAAGUACUUGUUGCAAAGUUAUACUGUUAAGGCGCAACUGAGUAGUCUAAUGUUGUUCCGAUUUUGGUUCUUGUGAAUGUUGACAUUGAUUCGUUCAAAAUUUACACUCUCGAGGUAUAAUAAAAUAAUAUAAUUAGGUUUUACUCUUUAUUCGAUAGAAUGAGAAAAAGUACUCGUCGCAAAGUUAUACUGUUAGGGGGCAACUGAGUAGUCUACUGUUGUUCCGAUUUUGGUUCUUGUGAACGUUGACAUCGAUUCGUUCCAAAUUUACACUCUCGAGGUAUAAUAGACCAAUAUAAUUAGGUUUUCUCUUUGUUCGAUAGAAUGAGAAAAAGUACUCGUUGCAAAGUUAUAUUGUUAGGGCGCAACUGAGUAGUCUAAUAUUGUUCCGAUUUUGGGGACCGUCCUCUGGCAAGGACCGGUUCCGAACGUUGAAUAUCCCCUUUGCCAGUUUGUGCAGCUUUACGUGGACGGCUCAAAGGGGUCGCUCGCCCGACAAAGGUGACCACCGGUUGGUCCCUCACUGCGAAAAAUACCCAGGGAGGCUGUUUCAAGAAGUGAAAAGUGAGGGUUUUAUGUUGCAUCAAGUGGGUUAUGAGAAGAGGCUAGGCUUGUCCGCCUCUCAUCGCAUCACUUACACUUCAGUGGAUGCCCUUCUUCACGUCGUGAUGUCGUAGUCCUCCAUACUCACGACCUCUGAUGUCUACUCAUCUUCUGGCUCUCUGAAAGGUUAUAACAAAAAAGCAUCAUAUCGGAGGAAAAGAGGAGAAGUAGCAGAAGGCUAGUAGAAUGAUAGAAGGAGACGAGAUAGAGACUGAAAAAGAGCGAGAAAGAGAGGUAUUGACAACUAAGACAGGAAUGAGAAGCAUAUCACGCGAGUUACACUAUUCAUCAUCUCCUCUUGCCCAAAGCUUGGAGCUUGGUAAUGAUGUAAACCUCAACCUUUGAUGUGGUUUCAAUAGGCAGAGGUAGAAGUUUUAUAAUACGAAUAAGCGCGGUUCAAGACUGAACCUUAUUGAGCUGCAUAACUGCCAGGUCGAGAUAUGUUUCGACUCGAAAUCGAAGCUCGCAGCCGGCAGAGUAGUCGUAUCUCAUCAAUGGCCGCAUGAUGCGUGCAUUGUGCUUUUCGAUAGUCUUUCGAGAAUAGGUUGGCCAGAGCAUACUUGAACUGGGCUAUUUAAUUCAAAUUAAUUUCGGCACACCUAAAUUCUAAGGUCCCGAAGUCGUAGGCACAGACGGUGUGUCGCAUUACCGUCGAGUAGCAGUCGAAGUUAUCGCCAAGAGAGACCUUCGGAGCUUCGUGUCCAUGCCUAGAAGGCUAACGGCGUCGAGACGGUUCUAAGGCACGACACAUCGCAAUCGAAGAGCUUCCACAGAAGUCCACCCACCGAGGGGUGGAGCAUCACAGUAAAACCCACCAAAAGUCCUCACCAGGGCGAGAGUGGCGCUACACGAGCUAACCAGAAGGGUGCGGGCGAUCAACAUGGUCGGACUUCACUUUCAUGCUUUAGAUGUCUGAUGUCAUCAUCGAAAGACUUAACUAGUACGAGUUUAUUACAUAUUGUGAUAUAGUCAAUUACUUGACGGAAUUGUCUUAACCAUGGAUUAUCGCUGCAUAUCCUUGCAUGCUAAGGAUGGUAUAGCUCUGCGUUUGUUCAUCAUCGUCAAGACUGAUUUAGUAAAACAUGCAGAGGUGAGCGAUCGUUUGAGAACAGACACCCAAUGAAAAGUCGCCCUAGUCAACUAACGAUAAGAAUUAUUGUUUCAGUAGAUGAUAUAUGAACCUAGUGAUACCUUGGAACACAGUUGUAUUCAAGAACUCUGUCAAGAGAACGAGUGGCCAUCUAGUUAACCUAAACAUGAACGAGUGCAUUAAGUAGCCGGUAGGCAGCGCAAAACCUAAGAAAACUGCCUGCAGCUUGUCGAGAGACUACAUCAGUAUCAGAUAGUGAUGGAUCAGCGCCACCAAUCAAGUUGCUACUACACCGAGGCUAACCUCUCGGUGCCACGAAAUUCCGCCGAGUAUAGAUAUGCCCCCUGUUGAUCAGGGCGAUAUUACGAGAUUAUCAUGACAGAGAUUGAAUCGAGCUCACUUAGCUGCUGUCUUACACCUGUAGGACAGUAAGAAUCCUCGCACCUUCCUUACGAUGCUUUAAGUCGUUACACAACUCCCGGAGUGCUUCUUCGGCGAAGAUAUCUCGCAAGAUACUGGCGGGCCAGUGUAUGCCCUGGAGCCAGUGUAGUGUCCGCUCUCGGAAGAUAGGAUCCGGUCUCCGGGUAAGUGAUAUAGCUAGCCCACUCAUCCCCUAUGCAAGCAUCUUAGACGACGUAGAGGUACACGUAUCAGAUGUCACAAUGAAAACCCGACGGCGAGCGAAACUUGCGUUCGCCGAGAGAUACGAAACUAGAUAUUCCACAGAAUAUAGCCCGAAGAUCCUGUUCAAUCAUGUCCAUGAUGCUGACUCACACUUAGCAUUGUGUUUGAUGGAAGCAUGUAGUCCCGAAAGGCAUCACCGAGACAGCCUAGCAUUCUUACUAUGAGUUGUGCGAAGACAUUCGUAGUGGCAUCCUGAAUUAUGAGGCAUUGUAGUACCUGUGGCGAAUCUAGUUUCUAUGGACCAUCAAUUCACUCUCAGCCCGGAUCUUAAGCUGAAUGGUACCGCUUUCAGUUAAUAUAAUCUAUCUAUCUGCAUAUCUAUCUGUAGCGCGGGGCUAAGACGCUAGUGGGAGGAUCCGAUGCAAUGAGAUCUUCGGAGCAGAUACACGCCAGAACCCACUGGGAAACUAUUCGUAGUUCUCACUCGCACAGAGUACUAUCGCUGCACUGAGGCUGGCUUCCAAAGAAAGGAGACCGUGUUCAAUCUGGGCAGGGGAUACCCCUGUUUCUUACACUGUGACUUUGUUGAGGCGGCUCGAAUCGCCGGAAGGCGUAAGCGCCCUACGGGUUGACAGUGGUAAUCCAGACGAAGAGGGUUUUUCACUUAUUUAAAUAUCAAAUUUUUUCUUGACUUAGCGCCUUAUUUAGAAGACAGGGCAGCACCUCUAGUCGUCUAGGGAGAUCACACCUGGCUCUAUGACCUCCUUUAUCACCCUACCUCAGCUGGCGCCUUCCCUUUACUUCAGCUCCCAGGCAAAGCAAUAUAAGAUUAGUCAUAGCCAUCGAGGAUCGAUGGUGGUUGCCAGACACAGUGAUCUCAUACUGCGGUCAGCACGAGGUCAUCCUGUUAUCUGGUAGUCUAGAGAGUUGUAGGUACGAAUUCACAGACUACAUGGUCAUAUCCAAUGAGUGGUCGCAUUCUUAAUCUUAUGUCUAAUAUACACGGCCGGGCAUUCAACAUUAUUGCCCUAGUAAAGAGAUAUCGCAGCGAAAUAGAGGCUCUAACAUGCUCGGUUAAUAAAUAUAUUAUAAGAAGUUAGCUCGGCAAAAUAGGAUCACCCAUCCUCCGCUCGCAUCGAUAGUAAUGUUGCCUAGUGAAAAACAGUCCAUUAGGUUCGAAUUUUAUUACUACUCAGAUCAGGCUAGAAAAACCCGAUCAUCGUUGUACCAAGAAGUAAAGCGGCGGUGAGUACCAUACGAGCAUAAGUGUAUGCUCAGCUGACAGGCGAGUAAGCAUCAUCCUGCUAGAGGUCGUCUCGAUCUCGAAGUGUACACAUCGAGUGUUUUGCGAGGAAAGACCAAGCUCACAUGCAAAUGAAUGCGAAAUAAAGAGUGGCGAUGCUCUUCACGUACUCGAAAAUGAGCAAUUCUAGCAUCAGAUGAAAUGUUGAAGGUAUGGACAAUACCUCGCAAGACAGUCGCCCACACCAGUGCCCUGCGUGCUGAGUCAGGGCGAAGACCUCUCUGCGCAUCUCCAGAUGCGCUGCCGUGCCCCUCAGUUUGCGCCUCCGUCCCGCGUAAUUGUGGUUGUUAAUUGUUAUGUACCCAGUUCAACGUUGUUCCUUGGAACCUUGUUGCUCACUAAUCUAUGGUUGAGCCUUGGCGACAGAGGAGGCUGUCCGUUCGGCGUCGGUCCGCCCUUCGAGUAGGGGGACCCCGGAGCCACGAAGCAGCUGCAGCUGGGGCUCCGCGGCUUCUGCGGGCGUGCAGGCAUGGGAGGAGACAGGGACUCCCCCUGAGACAUCCGCCACCUCCUAGGACACUGGCUUGCAGGGGAGCCACCUCGCACUGGCCACGAACGGAAACAGUGUCCUCCUCUGCGACCAUUCGCCAUCAACCGCUGAGCUUUGCCGGCAGAUGCACACAACGGUGGAUCGCCCCUCUGCUGAUUGCUCGAGGGCGCACUCUUUGCUCCCUGCUAGAGUGCGCGGAUGCUUUGGCGACCGGUUACUAUUGGAAAGGAGCCGCCGCACGUCUUAGAAUGGGAACGCUUUCUGUUCCCCAUCGCCUCCGAGGCCCUUUGCAGCUCGGACUCUCGUAGACUCGCUCUGGAUGACGAGGCUAUCGUCGCAAGCACUCCGUCAAAACACGUCAUCGUGCCAUGAGAAGCCCAGCAGCAUCCUGAUGUGGGUCUCGAAGCCCUCGCGAAGACUCUCGCCUUGUGCGCUCGUCAAAGUAGGCUCGAAUAGAGAGCAAGGGAUCAGCCUCCACCAUGGCGGAAGACGAAGUCCUGCUCGUAGCUUCAGCUACGGUACGUUCCCACUGCUGAAGAUGUUCUAAAGCUCCGCGCUCCGGCCCAGCCUCCAAAUUUUUGAGUUGUCCCGAAAGAAUUGCUUGGAUUGGAGAUCUCCGGAACUCCCCCCAGGGUUGGGAAAGGACGGCCCAGCUGUGAGCGAGGUAGAUGUCGGCAGCCACCAAAUAGAGCUGCGUCCGCCGGUCCGAGAAAGUGUGCGGCCAAGGACGCGGUACCUGGCUCAUCCGAUGAGUAUAAGUCGCUCUAAAGCUAGGUACUCUCACAAUGUCGGUCAGGUUCGAUGAGCAGGUCGCGUCGAUAGAAACUCCUAGUUCUCUUCCUUCUUACGCUCCACGCGUAUUCUUGCGGGUCGAAUUCCCAUGAACUCAUCCAGCUUCGCACAUGCAUAGCGGGCGCCUCUGCUGCGGGGUAAUUUGCAUCCUCAGCUGGAACCUCUGGUGGUCGUCCGUCGUCGUCGAGCUCAGCAAGCAGAUAAAGAUGGAACGGAGCCGAGGGCCGAGCUACCUAGUGCAGGCGCACCUGAGGAGGUGGUGGACUUCCUACGGAGACUCUAAGAGCAGGCAUGACCCAUUCCAGAACCGGCGGCGUCGGGGAAGGUAGUCGCUUAUAUGGGAACACAGCUCUAGGCGGUGUGCGGCUCGUAAGGACUAGCUGGCAUGAGUGCUGCGUCGGAAACCGCCGCCAUGUGGAAAGGAGUCGUCAUCCUGAAUCCCGUCCCGUCAUCACUGGAGGCUUUAGACCUCGAGUGGUGAGGCUCGAGCUGCUUCGAUAGCAGUGAGUAUCCGCCCUGCUGGAUGUGGAAUGUUUUUUUUUACUUUUCUGGUCGAUCUGCUCACCCUACUCCUGCCCUGCCCCACCUGCCUCUGCCGUUGCUCGGAGGCCUGCUCUUUUCCUAGGAGGCUAAUUGACUAAGAGCCCUCAUGGGCGACGGCGUCCAGAAAGUUUGAUGGAACUAGCUCCCACGAACUCACGGAAGAAGGUGGGUCCGCUACUCCACGAGCCAAUCUGUAACACAAAGCACGCGUCAGCACGAAUAAUCGAGACUCGACCAACUCCGCCUACGGACUUGAGGCCCACAGAAACUUGCACUCACGUGCGCUAUGAGUAUUUCGCCCGUAGUCCUGCCUAUGGGUCAACCUAACCAAUGGUUCAUUUCAUUGAUUUUUCGAAAACCAACCUGUGAAUGGUAGUCUCCCCCUGUAUUUUGAGCACGGUCGUCGUAGCACAAGUACAGAGGAGAUCUGUCCCGUCGUGAAGUGGAUUCCCUGUAAUUGUGCGAUCUGACAUACUCUGGGGUCAGGUAUUUGAGAAAAACAAAAACAAAUUAUUAGUCAUUUCGCGUCAUUUCCAAACGCGCAACAAGGACCUCAGGGGUGACAGAUUAAAGUGGUAUCAGAGCCGGUUCAUCAGCUGGACAUGUGUGGCGAGUCUCGCUAUGAGCCACGGGUCGGAUGACGGGCUAACGAGCGACGUCUUACAUCGCGCUGGUGAUCUUGGGCUGUGUGUGUUGUGGACUCGACAGACGUCAGGACUGCAGCUUAAACGGGGAGUCCUGGUGACACCGCCAUAUCAACAUCGAUGAAAUGGAAGGUGUUGUUUAUUCAGGAGUUGAUAAGCACGACUUAGACACUAGCUAAAUAAUAACUGGCUUAGAGCAUUUGGGGUCUGUGUUGGUAUCAUGGGCCAACGAGUUACUCUUAAUUAAGCUUAGUGAAGCUUGGGCCUGGUCGUUACAUUGGUAAUCAGUCAAGUCGAAUUCUUUCAGCUCAUCGAAGCUACUGCUAGACACCGUCGAUUUGUUCAUGAAGUUAUUGUCGUUUCGAACUGCGAAUGAUGACCUGUCGUUCGGAUUCAGUAAUACCGAUUUUGCUGGGAGUCCACCGGGUUAUACCCAAAGCUCUCCGAGCUUUGCCUCAAUGUAAAGCUUGUGAAGCGGUGUGCGAUUUUGGAGAAGGCUGCAACGAAUCGCAAGAUAAUACCUGCACUGCGCCAAACCCUAGAAAAACUCCGGACUUGGUCACCGAAAGUUUUGGUUCAAGACCAGCUACACCACGCGAGGCUAUCUUCUUCGGGUCCGACCGAAUCCACGCCGGAGUAGAAUAUGCCGUCUCUCAAGAAUGACCACGUAGCGACGUCACGGAGCAGAAAUCCACUUCUUGAGCUUAGCGUUACAACUGUGCCGCCGCUGAAGUAUCUGGCAAUUAGCUCUGUCGCGAGAUGAUCCUCAGGUGCUCCCUACAAUACUCCGCGAGUAGAUCAGGAGUCAUCAUGAAACCGACGACAGACACUGAUCCAGAUAAGCUCGGAAGCCCUGUCAUUCAUGUCGCAUAGAAGGCUGCGCGGAGGAUUGGUGAGCCCGAAAGGCACACCGUGAACUCGUAGUGGCCGUAACGAGUCCGGAAAGGCGGUCUUUCGGCACAUCCUCAGCCCGGAUCUUUAAGCUGAUGUAGCCUCCCGACCGCAAGAUCAUCCUUGGAGUUAGCACCGACGAUCCUUUGACAAGGCUGGUCAUGGUACGAAGCCUGAACUUUCCAGUACGCGCUUUCUCAUCUUUAGAGUGACGGUCAGGUCCAGAGCGACGUGCAUCCAGACUUCUUGUACGACAUGCUCUGGCGCAGAUCGCGUCUGGAUUACGGUGGAUCGGAUGGUCUCGGUAUUACCGUUGGUGGAGUUUCGCGACUAUAAUAAACAGCUUUCAGGGUCGACAUCGGGAUGGCACCAUACCGAGGCGUCUGUUAUGGGCGUUCGAUGUCGUUCUCAGCUAUCUGCUUGGCACGCAUGUCGAAGACCGCCGGUUAGUUAGGACUACUAGAUUUAGUAGGAGACGCCACAUGAGGCAAGAUCCGCAUUGGGCGAGAGAGCGGCUUCAGACCUGCAACAGAUAGAAUCCAAGGGGCGACUAGCGCGGCCCAGGCGGAGGCCGGAACCUAGAGUUUCAGUCGUGAGUCAUGUGCUGCUCAAGUGUCGCCUUCCAGGAUCAAUACGGUUUGUUUGCGGAACAAGCUUAUCGCGCUGGUUUCGGUGGGACCCGUUCUGAGAUCCUACGAGCUGCGUUGGUCCGGUGGGCUUACCAGAUUGCUCUCAUACCGCAGUCUCGCCCGAGUGCAGCAACGUUUUUUCACGUGUCCCAUGCUUCGGAUACCACAUCCCGAUCCGUCCCCACAUCAUUCAGUCGACACGCAUUCAGCUAUGCGGGAGGAUCUCGAGCUAUGCAGUGAGGCUCCCGUUGCACGAUCCUGGUCACGUGAGGUGAACGCAGUUGCCGGAAUAGGAGCAUAUCCGUAUUCAAGGUCCAGUGGAGGAGAAGCGCGACGAGAGGGCUGCGCCUGAGGCUACUGGGAGCUUGAAUGCGUCAUGGCGGUCGAUCAUUAUCCACAGUUAUUUUGCGAGGGACGUCCUUGUNNNNNNNNNNNNNNNNNNNNNNNNNACUAAUUAUAUAGUUCUAUUAUGCCGCCGGCGCAAUUGUUAUAUAUUUGGAACGAUCUUAAAUUUACAAGAACCAAAUCGGAACAACAAUUAGACUACUAAGUUGCGCACCUAACAUAUUAACUUUUGCAACGAGCACUUAUUUCUCAUUCUACAAACAAAGAGUAAAACCAUUAUAUUGCUUAUUAUGCCUCGAGACAGUGUAAAUUUGGAACGAAUCAGAAACUUGUCAACGUUCACAAGACAACAAACAUGGACGAAAAUUAGCACUACUCAGUUUGCGCGCAACAGUAUAACUUUUGAACGAGUAUUUUUCUUCAUUGAUCAAUAGAACAAAGAGUUAAAACCUAAGUAUAUUAUUUUUUAUACCUCCAUUCGUGCUAAAUCGUAGAACGAGGUCAAUGUCAACGUUCACAAGACCAAAAUCGGAACACAUAGACUACUCAGUUGGCACCAACAGAUAUGAACUUAUGCACACGAAUACUUUUUUCUAAUUCUAUCAACAAAGAAGUAAACCCCAUAUUAUAUUGUAUCUUAUGCCCCAGAGUGUAAAUUUGGAACGUAACCAGAUGGCAAGGUUCACGUAAGAACAAAAAACAGGAACAAAAUUAGAUACUAGUUGCGGCCAAAAAGUCUAACUUUGCAACGAGUAUUUUUUCUCAUUUCUAUUAUCAGAAAGAGGUAAAACCUAAUUAUAUAGUUCUAAUUUGCCUGGAGUGUAAACUUGGAACGAAUCAGAUUCGUCAACGUGAUUAAGAAGAAAAACCAGAAAACACAUUACACUACUCUGGUUUGCAGCACUAACAGUAUAACUGCGACGUAGUACUUUUGUCUCUUUCUAUCGAACAAAAAGUGAAACCUAAUUAUCAUUCUAUUAUGCCCGGGCGAGUGUAAAUUGUGGAAGAUCUUCAACGUUCACAAAAGAACCAAAUCGGAACAACAUGAGCACUACUCAUUGCGACCUAACGUUAUAACUUUGCAACGAGUACUUUUCUGAUUUCUAUCAACAAAGAGAUAAAACCUUUAAUUAUAUCGAUAUCUAUAGUCUCGAGAGUGUAAAUUGGACGAUAUCAGAGUCAAGUUCAGAAAGAAUCAAAGAUUCGGCGAAGAACAUUAGAUACUCAGUUUUGGCCCUAACAGUUAUACUUAAUGCAACGAUCUUUUUCUACGUUCUAUCAAACAAAGAGUAAAAUACUAAUUAUAUUAUUUAUUAUACGCUCGAGAGUGUGAAUUUGGACGAAGGUCAUAUCAACGUUCACAAGAACCAGCCGGGAGACCGGUCCUUGUCCGAGAGACCGGUUCCCGAGAGCAAUACUUUCGGGACUUAGCCAAAUUUCGGCUUCUCUCGCUGGGCCAACGUUCGGGAACCGGUCCCUGCCUGCUAGGGACAGGUCUCAUCAGAGACCCCCGCAGCCCAGCCUGAUGGGACCGGUCCCUCCCUGCCAGGGACCGGUCCCCGAGAGCAUUUCUUCUCCAGUGCAGCUUUUGCACGGGUGCUCUCGCGGACACCUCCUCAAUGCACCUUAUGCAUUGUGAUCACCUUCGGACUUUCCGAAGCUUGCACGCACGACAACCAGUCGAUCUUUGACGAAGUCUAAUCCUCGAGUUUCGAGAAUUCACUUCCCUUACACUCUCCCCACUUAAAAGAGUUUCGUCCUCGAAACGAACUCAACAAUAUUAAAUUCAUCCAGAAUACUCAUACCUCGGUGGCUCACUCAAACAAGUGAGGAUGAUUCGCUCUCAUCUCCUCCUCGAGCUCCCAGGUGGCUUCGCGGUCAGCAUGAUUGCUCCACUCUCAGGGCAUAAUAGAAUAAUAUAAUUAGGUUUUACUCUUUGUUCGAUAGAAUGAGAAAAAGUACUCGUUGCAAAGUUAUACUGUUUGGGCGCAACAGAGUAGUCUAUUGUUGUUCCGGUUUUCGUUAUUGUGAACGUCGACAUCGAUUCGUUCCAAAUUUACACUCUCGGAGUAUAAUAGAACUAUAUAAUUUGGUUUUACUCUUUAUUCAAUAGAAUGAGAAAAAGUACUCGUUGCAAAGUUAUACUGUUUGGGCGCAACUCAGUGGUCUAAUUUUGUUCCGGUUUUUGUUCUUGUGAACGUUGACAUCGAUUCGUUCCAAAUUUAUACUCUCGGGGCAUAAUAGCACAAUAUAAUUAGGUUUUACUCUUUGUUCGAUAGAAUGAGAAAAAGUACUCGUUGCAAAGUUAUACUGUUAGGGUGCUACUGAAUAGUUGAAUGUUGUUCCAAUUUUGAUUCAUGUGAACGUUGACAUCGAUUCGUUCCAAAUUUACACUCUCGGGGCAUAAUAAAAUAAUAUAAUUAGGGUUUACUCUUUGCCCGAUAGAAUGAGAAAAAGUACUCGUUGCAAAGUUAUACUGUUAGUGUGCAACUGAGUAGUCUAAUAUUGUUCCGGUUUUUGUUCUUCAGAUCGUUGAC
RNAcentral lists this long non-coding RNA (11010 nucleotides) under Ananas comosus (pineapple). Its description in RNAcentral is "long non-coding RNA (ACOM_LNC016790)". The record is from RNAcentral. Lineage: Eukaryota; Viridiplantae; Streptophyta; Magnoliopsida; Poales; Bromeliaceae.